This is a long non-coding RNA of Gossypium raimondii (Peruvian cotton), 708 nucleotides long. RefSeq lists it as uncharacterized. The record is from RefSeq and is a predicted model, not a curated record. Lineage: Eukaryota; Viridiplantae; Streptophyta; Magnoliopsida; Malvales; Malvaceae. The transcript has 2 exons.
UAUAAUUAAUAUAUUUUUUAUUUUUUAUUUCAUUUACAAUAUUAGUUACCUUACCUGCUUACCUUUCCCAUUUCCCCCACCCGUUCAAACUUCAAAAUCCCUAACCCCUUCCCUUCCCUCCUUUUUUUCCCCAAAUCAAAAACCCCACCUCCACCUCCACCGAUCAACCAUCCCACCUCCGGCGUACGGUCCUCGACGACUCCACCUCCAGGCUCCAGUUCCACGACGCUAGCGUUGUUGUUGUUCUCUACUUCUCUUCACUUCGAUUCUUCUGCAACUUAUGAAGAAACAAUCGACAUUGAAAUAGAAUUUGGCUUACCUUAGCUUCCUUUCCCGUAAGCUUUCAUUUACAUUUUCUUUUUACAAUUUAGUUUAAUUUGAUUUUCCUUUAUUUUACUUUGUACAACAUUUUGCAGAUUAGCAGAUUUCCCCAUAAGCUAAACUUGCUUAUCUAGUAUCUACUAGUAGGAAAAUAAUGGGAUUGAGAAAUACAGAUACUUCUAUUUAAGAUUUUGGAUUGGAUUUAUGCAGUUUGAAUUUCAUUAAUUUCUUUUUUGGUACAUAUGUAAUUUAGCUUAUAGAAUAAGUAUGACUAUCUCAAUUGUUUAAACGCAAAGGAUGUUUUCUAGUUUAGGUUUAUAUUAUAUAUUUAAUAAUUUGCCUAUUGUUUAUAUAUAAAUUUGAAAUCUAAUAAAUGUUUUUGUUCCA